Hypanus sabinus (Atlantic stingray) is the source of this 152-nucleotide long non-coding RNA. RefSeq lists it as uncharacterized. The transcript has 3 exons. The record is from RefSeq and is a predicted model, not a curated record. NCBI's taxonomy places the organism in Eukaryota, Metazoa, Chordata, Chondrichthyes, Myliobatiformes, Dasyatidae.
GAACAUUGUUGGUCACCAGGGAAGUCGGACUGUGAUUUCCCGGGACCACACUGAACGCCGGCCGGUUAAACAUCAGAGUAACACAGCCUCACUGGGACAGGGUGGUAACCGAACCUGGAGCCGCUGUACAAGUUCAGGGACUCGGACUCGCU